UCUCAUCGCGAGAUGNGGGCGCACCCAGAGCGUACACGCUGGGACCCGAAAGAUGGUGAACUAUGCCUGGUCAGGACGAAGUCAGGNNNGGAAACCCUGAUGGAGGUCCGUAGCGAUUCUGACGUGCAAAUCGAUCGUCGGAACUGGGUAUAGGGGCGAAAGACUAAUCGAACCAUCUAGUAGCUGGUUCCCUCCGAAGUUUUCCUCAGGAUAGCUGGCGCUCGCNUNNNUCGCGAGUCUCAUCCGGUAAAGCGAACGAUUAGAGGCAUUGGGGUCGAAACGGCCUCAACCUAUUCUCAAACUUUAAAUGGGUGAGAUCUCCGGCUUGCUCGAACNGNNNNNNNNNNUGAAGCCGCGAGACCUCGGAUCANNGAGUGCCAAGUGGGCCACUUUUGGUAAGCAGAACUGGCGCUGUGGGAUGAACCAAACGCCGAGUUAAAGCGCCUAAAUCGACGCUUAUGGGAUACCAUGUAUGGCGUUG
This 481-nucleotide ribosomal RNA is filed under the name Parhydraena maureenae. Its description in RNAcentral is "partial large subunit ribosomal RNA". It matches the Rfam family "Eukaryotic large subunit ribosomal RNA", at positions 770 to 1226 of the family's 3401-position model. The record is from RNAcentral. Lineage: Eukaryota; Metazoa; Arthropoda; Insecta; Coleoptera; Hydraenidae.